GUGGACGACGUCAAGUCAUCAUGGCCCUUAUGCCCAGGGCGACACACGUGCUACAAUGGCAUAUACAAUGAGACGCAAUACCGCGAGGUGGAGCAAAUCUAUAAAAUAUGUCCCAGUUCGGAUUGUUCUCUGCAACUCGAGAGCAUGAAGCCGGAAUCGCUAGUAAUCGUAGAUCAGCCAUGCUACGGUGAAUACGUUCCCGGGUCUUGUACUCACCGCCCGUCACACCAUGGGAGUUGAUUUCACUCGAAGCCGGAAUACUAAACUAGUUACCGUCCACAGUGGAAUCAGCGACUGGGGUGAAGUCGUAACAAGGUAACCGUAGGAGAACCUGCGGUUGGAUCACCUCCUUUCUAG
RNAcentral lists this ribosomal RNA (357 nucleotides) under Campylobacter jejuni. RNAcentral describes it as "bacterial SSU rRNA". It matches the Rfam family "Bacterial small subunit ribosomal RNA", at positions 1175 to 1533 of the family's 1533-position model. Lineage: Bacteria; Pseudomonadati; Campylobacterota; Epsilonproteobacteria; Campylobacterales; Campylobacteraceae. The record is from RNAcentral.